This 163-nucleotide ribosomal RNA is filed under the name Arrhenatherum elatius. Its description in RNAcentral is "5.8S ribosomal RNA". It matches the Rfam family "5.8S ribosomal RNA". From Rfam's summary of the family: 5.8S ribosomal RNA (5.8S rRNA) is a component of the large subunit of the eukaryotic ribosome. It is transcribed by RNA polymerase I as part of the 45S precursor that also contains 18S and 28S rRNA. Functionally, it is thought that 5.8S rRNA may be involved in ribosome translocation. Lineage: Eukaryota; Viridiplantae; Streptophyta; Magnoliopsida; Poales; Poaceae. The record is from RNAcentral. RNAcentral also lists the same sequence under 1 other name.
ACACGACUCUCGGCAACGGAUAUCUCGGCUCUCGCAUCGAUGAAGAACGUAGCGAAAUGCGAUACCUGGUGUGAAUUGCAGAAUCCCGCGAACCAUCGAGUCUUUGAACGCAAGUUGCGCCCGAGACCAUUCGGUCGAGGGCACGCCUGCCUGGGCGUCACGC